CCGCCGGACCCGACUGCUAUUUGGGUGAGAAUAAGCCAUGCGAGUUGAAUGGAAUUCCUAAAUUUUCCAUAGCAAACUGCUCAGUAACACAUGAUCAACUUGCCCUAUAGAGAAAAAUAACCUCGGGAAACUGAGGAUAAUGUUUCAUAGUUGAAAAGGCUUGGAAAAGUUUUUCAAUCAAAGGGAUAAAAAAAAUGGUUUUUAUUUGCUGUAGGAUAGGAUCGUGCUCGAUUAUGGUUGUUGGUGAGGUAAUGGCUCACCAAGCCGAUAAUCGAUAGGGGCCGUGAGAGCGGGAGCCCCGAGAUGGGUACUGAGACAGCGACCCAGGUCUUACGAGACGCAGCAGGCGCGAAACCUCCGCAAUACACGAAAGUGUGACGGGGUUACCCAAAGUGUUCAAUUUUGAACUGUGGUAGGUGAGUAAUGUCCCCUACUAGAAAGGAGAGGGCAAGGCUGGUGCCAGCCGCCGCGGUAAAACCAGCUCUUCAAGUGGUCGGGAUAAUUAUUGGGCUUAAAGUGUCCGUAGCCGGUUUAGUAAGUUCCUGGUAAAAUCGGGUAGCUUAACUAUCUGUAUGCUAGGAAUACUGCUAUACUAGAGGGCGGGAGAGGUCUGAGGUACUACAGGGGUAGGGGUGAAAUCUUAUAAUCCUUGUAGGACCACCAGUGGCGAAGGCGUCAGACUGGAACGUGCCUGACGGUGAGGGACGAAAGCCAGGGGAGCGAACCGGAUUAGAUACCCGGGUAGUCCUGGCCGUAAACGAUGCAUACUAGGUGAUGGUAUGGCCAUGAGCCGUGUCAGUGCCGUAGGGAAACCGUUAAGUGUGCCGCCUGGGAAGUACGGUCGCAAGGCUAAAACUUAAAGGAAUUGGCGGGGGAGCACCACAA
RNAcentral lists this ribosomal RNA (885 nucleotides) under uncultured archaeon. RNAcentral describes it as "bacterial SSU rRNA". It matches the Rfam family "Archaeal small subunit ribosomal RNA", at positions 14 to 884 of the family's 1478-position model. The record is from RNAcentral.